RNAcentral lists this ribosomal RNA (711 nucleotides) under uncultured bacterium. RNAcentral's name for it is "bacterial SSU rRNA". It matches the Rfam family "Bacterial small subunit ribosomal RNA", at positions 32 to 761 of the family's 1533-position model. The record is from RNAcentral.
UACGCUGGCCGCGUGCUUAACACAUGCAAGUCGAGCGGAAAGGCCCUUCGGGGUACUCGAGCGGCGAACGGGUGAGUAACACGUGAGCAACCUGCCCCUGGCUCUGGGAUAGCCUCCGGAAACGGGGAUUAAUACCGGACAUUCUCCUUCUUCCGCAUGGUUGAGGGUGGAAAGUUUUUUCGGCCGGGGAGGGGCUCGCGGCCUAUCAGCUUGUUGGCGGGGUAACGGCCCACCAAGGCGACGACGGGUAGCCGGCCUGAGAGGGCGACCGGCCACACUGGGACUGAGACACGGCCCAGACUCCUACGGGAGGCAGCAGUGGGGAAUAUUGCGCAAUGGGCGGAAGCCUGACGCAGCGACGCCGCGUGGGGGAUGAAGGCCUUCGGGUUGUAAACCCCUUUCACCAGGAGCGAAUCCAGACGGUACCUGGGGAAGAAGCGCCGGCUAACUACGUGCCAGCAGCCGCGGUAAUACGUAGGGCGCGAGCGUUGUCCGGAAUUAUUGGGCGUAAAGAGCUCGUAGGCGGCCUGUCGCGUCCGCAGUGAAAUCCUGGGGCUUAACCCCGGGCGUGCAGUGGAUACGGGCUGGCUAGAGGCAGGCAGGGGAGAACGGAAUUCCCGGUGUAGCGGUGAAAUGCGCAAAUAUCGGGAGGAACACCGGUGGCGAAAGGCGGUUUCUCUGGGCCUGUUCUGACGCUGAGGAGCGAAAGCG